RNAcentral lists this unclassified non-coding RNA (252 nucleotides) under plant metagenome. Its description in RNAcentral is "partial contains small subunit ribosomal RNA, internal transcribed spacer 1, and 5.8S ribosomal RNA". The stretch from base 1 to 54 matches the Rfam family "Eukaryotic small subunit ribosomal RNA", at positions 1778 to 1831 of the family's 1831-position model. The record is from RNAcentral.
GGAGGUAAAAGUCGUAACAAGGUCUCCGUAGGUGAACCUGCGGAGGGAUCAUUACAGAGUUCUCGCCCUCACGGGUAGAUCUCCCACCCACUGUUAUCGUUACUGUCGUUUCUUUGGCGGGCCGCCGGGUCCCCGGCCGCCGGCGCCUAGCUGCCGGCGCGCGCCCGCCAGAGGCCUUCAAACUCUGAAUGUUAGUGUCGUCUGAGUACUAUAUAAUAGUUAAAACUUUCAACAACGGAUCUCUUGGUUCUG